GACGAACGCUGGCGGCGUGCCUAAUACAUGCAAGUGGGACGCAAGGAAACACACUGUGCUUGCACACCGUGUUUUCUUGAGUCGCGAACGGGUGAGUAACGCGUAGGUAACCUGCCUAUUAGCGGGGGAUAACUAUUGGAAACAUAGCUAAUACCGCAUAAUAUUAAUUAUUGCAUGAUAAUUGAUUGAAAGAUGCAAGCGCAUCACUAGUAGAUGGACCUGCGUUGUAUUAGCUAGUUGGUAAGGUAAGAGCUUACCAAGGCGACGAUACAUAGCCGACCUGAGAGGGUGAUCGGCCACACUGGGACUGAGACACGGCCCAGACUCCUACGGGAGGCAGCAGUAGGGAAUCUUCGGCAAUGGACGAAAGUCUGACCGAGCAACGCCGCGUGAGUGAAGAAGGUUUUCGGAUCGUAAAGCUCUGUUGUAAGUCAAGAACGUGUGUGAGAGUGGAAAGUCACACAGUGACG
This 470-nucleotide ribosomal RNA is filed under the name Streptococcus mutans. Its description in RNAcentral is "bacterial SSU rRNA". It matches the Rfam family "Bacterial small subunit ribosomal RNA", at positions 28 to 474 of the family's 1533-position model. The record is from RNAcentral. Lineage: Bacteria; Bacillati; Bacillota; Bacilli; Lactobacillales; Streptococcaceae.